Molecule: transfer RNA, 71 nt
Filed under: Capra hircus (goat)
Lineage: Eukaryota; Metazoa; Chordata; Mammalia; Artiodactyla; Bovidae
Also listed under: 1 other name
Rfam family: tRNA
About the family: Transfer RNA (tRNA) molecules are approximately 80 nucleotides in length. Their secondary structure includes four short double-helical elements and three loops (D, anti-codon, and T loops). Further hydrogen bonds mediate the characteristic L-shaped molecular structure. tRNAs have two regions of fundamental functional importance: the anti-codon, which is responsible for specific mRNA codon recognition, and the 3' end, to which the tRNAs corresponding amino acid is attached (by aminoacyl-tRNA synthetases). tRNAs cope with the degeneracy of the genetic code in two manners: having more than one tRNA (with a specific anti-codon) for a particular amino acid; and 'wobble' base-pairing, i.e. permitting non-standard base-pairing at the 3rd anti-codon position.
Source: Rfam by way of RNAcentral
CCCUGGGUGGCUCAGUGGUAAAGAAUCUGCCUGCAAUGCAGGAGACCUGGGUUCAAUCCCUAGGUUGGGAA